RNAcentral lists this ribosomal RNA (498 nucleotides) under uncultured crenarchaeote. Its description in RNAcentral is "bacterial SSU rRNA". It matches the Rfam family "Archaeal small subunit ribosomal RNA", at positions 915 to 1412 of the family's 1478-position model. The record is from RNAcentral. Lineage: Archaea; Thermoproteati; Thermoproteota.
ACGCCAGAAAUCUUACCCGGAGAGACAGUAGAAUGAAGGUCAAGCUGAAGACUUUACCAGACAAGCUGAGAGGUGGUGCAUGGCCGUCGCCAGCUCGUGCCGUGAGAUGUCCUGUUAAGUCAGGUAACGAGCGAGAUCCCUGCCUCUAGUUGCCACCAUUACUCCCAGGAGUAGUGGGGCGAAUUAGCGGGACCGCCGUAGUUAAUACGGAGGAAGGAAGGGGCCACGGCAGGUCAGUAUGCCCCGAAACUCUGGGGCCACACGCGGGCUGCAAUGGUAACGACAAUGUGUUCCGAAUCCGAAAGGAGGAGGUAAUCCAGAAACGUUACCACAGUUAUGACUGAGGGCUGCAACUCGCCCUCACGAAUAUGGAAUCCCUAGUAACUGCGUGUCAUUAUCGCGCGGUGAAUACGUCCCUGCUCCUUGCACACACCGCCCGUCGUUUCAUUGAAGUUUGCCUUAGGCGAGGUGACGUCUCAUUGGCGUUAUCGAACUUGA